Molecule: long non-coding RNA, 218 nt
Filed under: Elaeis guineensis (African oil palm)
Lineage: Eukaryota; Viridiplantae; Streptophyta; Magnoliopsida; Arecales; Arecaceae
Description: long non-coding RNA (EGUI_LNC036392)
Source: RNAcentral
UCGGUCGGUCCCUUCGACCGUAAGUCGGUCGGUCGGUUCCUCCGGCCAUCGGUCGGUCGGUCGGUGGGUAUUCCCCAACAGUUGCCCCCCUCCACUCCUGAGUCGGAUGGUGAGCUGGCCGAUGCUUUCAUUCGGGCAGCAAUCCUGGGCGACUGGGAGUGGAUUUAUCGUAUGCACAGAUCCGACCGUACCGCCGAUUGACCCGAUGUCAGGCACCU